This is a long non-coding RNA of Monopterus albus (swamp eel), 1392 nucleotides long. RefSeq lists it as uncharacterized. The record is from RefSeq and is a predicted model, not a curated record. Lineage: Eukaryota; Metazoa; Chordata; Actinopteri; Synbranchiformes; Synbranchidae. The transcript has 3 exons.
AACUCAAAGACGCAUAUAGCACAAGGAGGUGGUCAAAGAUGGGAGAGGGAGCUGCCUCAGUGUGGUGGUCAGUUACAUGAAGAGCGUUGCAAAGAGGUCAUAUCCUUAAUGAACUACACCAGUGACAGAGAAACAUCCUGGAGAAGAGGGAGACUUUUGAGUAUAGGCAGCAUCUCAUCCACAACCCAGAUGAAUCGCAUGCAGUAUUCUCUGUGUUUCCAAGGCUGCUGGAUACUAAAGGGCUGAUAUUUCAAGAUUUUAGCCUCCUCUUUGGGCCAGAAACAGCUGCCAAACUACUUAAGAAAUGGCAUACGACUUAUAAAGAAAAGGUGAUCAGAGAAGCAGGGGGAGCCUUACUUCCACCCCGAUGCUCCAAAGUUUGUUGAGGUCUGCCAGGAAUCAGUGGCAUGAGGUAUUGAAUUGAAGGACAAAUGAAAUUCAUUUUCAAACAGGUCACACGGUACUUAAAAGGUGACAUAACACAUAAAAAGAUGGUCCUUUUUGAAAGGAGACAUAUUUGUCAUGAAAACAAAACUGAGUUGUUUUUUGCUUCCUAUAGAGUGGGACAGUGAUAUGGCGUCCCUGCUGCUCGUGCAUAUCCUUCCACCUCAGCCAAGUAAAAAGAAAACACAGAAGAUCAGUGCUGCUCAGGCCAUGGACCGCCUAGUUGUGUUCCACAAGGGUCAUGCAGGAGCUUAGAAGAACAGCUAGAGAACCAAGAGGGACAUCACUAGCCAUACCUUCUCACUUCUGGAACCAGCAAGCUACAUUCUACAUUGUGCUGGACAAGAAGCUCAUCCCAUUCCAUGGAACCACGUCACUGGCGGCCUUUGAUGAACUCUUUAAAGCGCACUUUGUGUUGAGUGUCAGCUAUGACACUGCUCUAAGCAACAUGUACACAUUCCUUCAGACCACAAUCUACAGUAUUGAUGUUAACACCACUAAAGAAAGCCCAAAGGUGAAGGAAUUGAGAGCCAAGUUUAUGAACAGGAGCUAAGAGCCAAGCUCAAUGUGCUAACAAUGUGUACAUGUAGCAAUUACAGAUUGUUGCACAAUGCACCUAUUGCAGUUGCUUUACACAAUUUACAAUUAGCAUUGACAAAAUCUUUGUAGUAAAUCUACAACAUUCUGUUAGCACAAAAAUGUCACUCUCUGUCACGGGUAUUGAGUCUGGGCCUGCCAAUUCAAAAAUACUGAGUGAUGGUGAAAAUGGUUAUGUGAUUUCGUAACAUUUUGAAAUUGAUAUGUCAAGUGAAAUAAGUGUCACGACAUGGGUUAAACUUAAUGGUACUGAGUAUCACAUGAAUCUUGUUUGCACUGAGAUGCCAGUGUUCAGUAAGAUUUUAUCUUUCUGAGAAAUGAGAAAUGUAUCAGAAAUGGAGACUACAUUUG